RNAcentral lists this ribosomal RNA (218 nucleotides) under uncultured marine eukaryote. Its description in RNAcentral is "partial 18S ribosomal RNA". It matches the Rfam family "Eukaryotic small subunit ribosomal RNA", at positions 609 to 839 of the family's 1831-position model. The record is from RNAcentral.
GUUGUUGCAGUUAAAAAGCUCGUAGUUGGAUUUCUGGCGGGGACCCGGGUACCCCUGGUGGGUGUGCUCGGGCCCGACCAUCCUUCUGUCAACUUUCGCGCGUCCUUCACCGGUCGGCAAAGGGAUCAGAUAAUUUACCUUGAGAAAAUUAGAGUGUUUCAGGCAGGCUUAGCCGGAAUACAUUAGCAUGGAAUAAUGGAAUAGGACUGAGGUCUCGU